AGUGAGCAAAAAGCUUUGGUUUGAGAUAAUGCUGUGUGCAGGUUUUGUUAUGGCUAUUUCAUGACAGGUUUUCAAAUGCCAAAGGGGUGGUCUUUAGCACCAGGUGUUUUCUGAUAUGAAUGGUGGUAUGAUGCUGCUAGGCUUUUCAUGACAGGAGAUGCAGAAUGGCCAAGUCAAGGUGACUGGUUGGCUUGCUGCUAGCAAGUUUGUUGGCAAGGCAAGGUUUUACACACAAGGCAAGGCA
This 244-nucleotide long non-coding RNA is filed under the name Lathyrus oleraceus (garden pea). RNAcentral describes it as "Pisum sativum (pea) long non-coding RNA (PSAT_LNC026373)". The record is from RNAcentral. Lineage: Eukaryota; Viridiplantae; Streptophyta; Magnoliopsida; Fabales; Fabaceae.